Non-coding RNA from Lentinula lateritia, 91 nucleotides. Lineage: Eukaryota; Fungi; Basidiomycota; Agaricomycetes; Agaricales; Omphalotaceae. The record is from the annotation of a GenBank genome assembly.
GCCUGCCUAGCUCAAUCGGAUAGAGCGUCAGACUCUUAAAGUGGGUGGCAGUUGGAUCUGAAGGCUGCGAGUUCGACCCUCGCGGUGGGCU